GGCGCAAGCCUGAUGCAGCCAUGCCGCGUGUGUGAAGAAGGCCUUCGGGUUGUAAAGCACUUUCAGUCGUGAGGAAGGUAGUGUAGUUAAUAGCUGCAUUAUUUGACGUUAGCGACAGAAGAAGCACCGGCUAACUCCGUGCCAGCAGCCGCGGUAAUACGGAGGGUGCGAGCGUUAAUCGGAAUUACUGGGCGUAAAGCGCAUGCAGGUGGUUUGUUAAGUCAGAUGUGAAAGCCCGGGGCUCAACCUCGGAAUUGCAUUUGAAACUGGCAGACUAGAGUACUGUAGAGGGGGGUAGAAUUUCAGGUGUAGCGGUGAAAUGCGUAGAGAUCUGAAGGAAUACCGGUGGCGAAGGCGGCCCCCUGGACAGAUACUGACACUCAGAUGCGAAAGCGUGGGGAGCAAACAGGAUUAGAUACCCUGGUAGUCCACGCCGUAAACGAUGUCUACUUGGAGGUUGUGGCCUUGAGCCGUGGCUUUCGGAGCUAACGCGUUAAGUAGACCGCCUGG
Molecule: ribosomal RNA, 510 nt
Filed under: Vibrio sp. QAM_1_94
Lineage: Bacteria; Pseudomonadati; Pseudomonadota; Gammaproteobacteria; Vibrionales; Vibrionaceae
Description: bacterial SSU rRNA
Rfam family: Bacterial small subunit ribosomal RNA
Source: RNAcentral